AACACCUCUUAUUGCCUUUCUGUUCACUCCCUGUUUUCCAGCCAAAUUGGGGAACAAAAGCAAGUGGCCACUCCAUUUCUUAAACCAACCCAAGACUUGGAUUAAAGCAACUCUGAUCACUGUACGCAAAGCAAUAAGGCAUUAUAAAUUUUGGAAUUGUCAAAGGAGCUUGAAGCAGCUGGAAAUUUACCAAGUAUCUGUAAACUUUUAAAGCUUAUGUCAUCGAAGAAAAUACACUUCAAAUUUCAAAAUGGUCUUUGUGCUUUACUAAUAGUACUAAAUACAGUGUUACUAGAUGC
Molecule: long non-coding RNA, 299 nt
Filed under: Capra hircus (goat)
Lineage: Eukaryota; Metazoa; Chordata; Mammalia; Artiodactyla; Bovidae
Description: lncRNA (ENSCHIG00000006234.1)
Source: RNAcentral